UGAGGAAUAUUGGGCAAUGCCCGCAAGGGUGACCCAGCAACGCCGCGUGGAGGAUGAAUGUCGUAAGAUUGUAAACUCCUGUUAGAGGGGAAGAAUAGUACCGGUUGGACCGGUAUAUGACUGUACCCUCAGAGAAAGCCCCGGCUAACUACGUGCCAGCAGCCGCGGUAAUACGUAGGGGGCAAGCGUUGUCCGGAUUUACUGGGUGUAAAGGGCGCGCAGGCGGGAUAAAAAGUCAGUGGUGAAAUCCUACAGCUUAACUGUAGAACUGCCUUUGAUACUAUUUGUCGUGAAUAUUGCGGAGGUAAGCGGAAUAUGUCAUGUAGCGGUGAAAUGCUUAGAUAUGACAUAGAACACCAAUUGCGAAGGCAGCUUACUACACAAUCAUUGACACUGAGGCACGAAAGCGUGGGUAGCGAACA
This 422-nucleotide ribosomal RNA is filed under the name uncultured bacterium. Its description in RNAcentral is "bacterial SSU rRNA". It matches the Rfam family "Bacterial small subunit ribosomal RNA", at positions 355 to 774 of the family's 1533-position model. The record is from RNAcentral.